UUAAGCGACUAAGCGUACACGGUGGAUGCCCUGGCAGUCAGAGGCGAUGAAGGACGUGCUAAUCUGCGAUAAGCGUCGGUAAGGUGAUAUGAACCGUUAUAACCGGCGAUUUCCGAAUGGGGAAACCCAGUGUGAUUCGUCACACUAUCAUUAACUGAAUCCAUAGGUUAAUGAGGCGAACCGGGGGAACUGAAACAUCUAAGUACCCCGAGGAAAAGAAAUCAACCGAGAUUCCCCCAGUAGCGGCGAGCGAACGGGGAGCAGCCCAGAGCCUGAAUCAGUGUGUGUGUUAGUGGAAGCGUCUGGAAAGGCGCGCGAUACAGGGUGACAGCCCCGUACACAAAAAUGCACAUGCUGUGAGCUCGAUGAGUAGGGCGGGACACGUGGUAUCCUGUCUGAAUAUGGGGGGACCAUCCUCCAAGGCUAAAUACUCCUGACUGACCGAUAGUGAACCAGUACCGUGAGGGAAAGGCGAAAAGAACCCCGGCGAGGGGAGUGAAAAAGAACCUGAAACCGUGUACGUACAAGCAGUGGGAGCCUCUUUAUGGGGUGACUGCGUACCUUUUGUAUAAUGGGUCAGCGACUUAUAUUCUGUAGCAAGGUUAACCGAAUAGGGGAGCCGAAGGGAAACCGAGUCUUAACUGGGCGUUAAGUUGCAGGGUAUAGACCCGAAACCCGGUGAUCUAGCCAUGGGCAGGUUGAAGGUUGGGUAACACUAACUGGAGGACCGAACCGACUAAUGUUGAAAAAUUAGCGGAUGACUUGUGGCUGGGGGUGAAAGGCCAAUCAAACCGGGAGAUAGCUGGUUCUCCCCGAAAGCUAUUUAGGUAGCGCCUCGUGAAUUCAUCUCCGGGGGUAGAGCACUGUUUCGGCAAGGGGGUCAUCCCGACUUACCAACCCGAUGCAAACUGCGAAUACCGGAGAAUGUUAUCACGGGAGACACACGGCGGGUGCUAACGUCCGUCGUGAAGAGGGAAACAACCCAGACCGCCAGCUAAGGUCCCAAAGUCAUGGUUAAGUGGGAAACGAUGUGGGAAGGCCCAGACAGCCAGGAUGUUGGCUUAGAAGCAGCCAUCAUUUAAAGAAAGCGUAAUAGCUCACUGGUCGAGUCGGCCUGCGCGGAAGAUGUAACGGGGCUAAACCAUGCACCGAAGCUGCGGCAGCGACGCUUAUGCGUUGUUGGGUAGGGGAGCGUUCUGUAAGCCUGUGAAGGUGUGCUGUGAGGCAUGCUGGAGGUAUCAGAAGUGCGAAUGCUGACAUAAGUAACGAUAAAGCGGGUGAAAAGCCCGCUCGCCGGAAGACCAAGGGUUCCUGUCCAACGUUAAUCGGGGCAGGGUGAGUCGACCCCUAAGGCGAGGCCGAAAGGCGUAGUCGAUGGGAAACAGGUUAAUAUUCCUGUACUUGGUGUUACUGCGAAGGGGGGACGGAGAAGGCUAUGUUGGCCGGGCGACGGUUGUCCCGGUUUAAGCGUGUAGGCUGGUUUUCCAGGCAAAUCCGGAAAAUCAAGGCUGAGGCGUGAUGACGAGGCACUACGGUGCUGAAGCAACAAAUGCCCUGCUUCCAGGAAAAGCCUCUAAGCAUCAGGUAACAUCAAAUCGUACCCCAAACCGACACAGGUGGUCAGGUAGAGAAUACCAAGGCGCUUGAGAGAACUCGGGUGAAGGAACUAGGCAAAAUGGUGCCGUAACUUCGGGAGAAGGCACGCUGAUAUGUAGGUGAGGUCCCUCGCGGAUGGAGCUGAAAUCAGUCGAAGAUACCAGCUGGCUGCAACUGUUUAUUAAAAACACAGCACUGUGCAAACACGAAAGUGGACGUAUACGGUGUGACGCCUGCCCGGUGCCGGAAGGUUAAUUGAUGGGGUUAGCGGUAACGCGAAGCUCUUGAUCGAAGCCCCGGUAAACGGCGGCCGUAACUAUAACGGUCCUAAGGUAGCGAAAUUCCUUGUCGGGUAAGUUCCGACCUGCACGAAUGGCGUAAUGAUGGCCAGGCUGUCUCCACCCGAGACUCAGUGAAAUUGAACUCGCUGUGAAGAUGCAGUGUACCCGCGGCAAGACGGAAAGACCCCGUGAACCUUUACUAUAGCUUGACACUGAACAUUGAGCCUUGAUGUGUAGGAUAGGUGGGAGGCUUUGAAGUGUGGACGCCAGUCUGCAUGGAGCCGACCUUGAAAUACCACCCUUUAAUGUUUGAUGUUCUAACGUUGACCCGUAAUCCGGGUUGCGGACAGUGUCUGGUGGGUAGUUUGACUGGGGCGGUCUCCUCCUAAAGAGUAACGGAGGAGCACGAAGGUUGGCUAAUCCUGGUCGGACAUCAGGAGGUUAGUGCAAUGGCAUAAGCCAGCUUGACUGCGAGCGUGACGGCGCGAGCAGGUGCGAAAGCAGGUCAUAGUGAUCCGGUGGUUCUGAAUGGAAGGGCCAUCGCUCAACGGAUAAAAGGUACUCCGGGGAUAACAGGCUGAUACCGCCCAAGAGUUCAUAUCGACGGCGGUGUUUGGCACCUCGAUGUCGGCUCAUCACAUCCUGGGGCUGAAGUAGGUCCCAAGGGUAUGGCUGUUCGCCAUUUAAAGUGGUACGCGAGCUGGGUUUAGAACGUCGUGAGACAGUUCGGUCCCUAUCUGCCGUGGGCGCUGGAGAACUGAGGGGGGCUGCUCCUAGUACGAGAGGACCGGAGUGGACGCAUCACUGGUGUUCGGGUUGUCAUGCCAAUGGCACUGCCCGGUAGCUAAAUGCGGAAGAGAUAAGUGCUGAAAGCAUCUAAGCACGAAACUUGCCCCGAGAUGAGUUCUCCCUGACUCCUUGAGAGUCCUGAAGGAACGUUGAAGACGACGACGUUGAUAGGCCGGGUGU
This 2846-nucleotide ribosomal RNA is filed under the name Escherichia coli. RNAcentral describes it as "bacterial LSU rRNA". It matches the Rfam family "Bacterial large subunit ribosomal RNA". The record is from RNAcentral. Lineage: Bacteria; Pseudomonadati; Pseudomonadota; Gammaproteobacteria; Enterobacterales; Enterobacteriaceae.